UUUAUAUCAAUAAGCGGAGGAAAAGAAACCAACAGGGAUUGCCCUAGUAACGGCGAGUGAAGCGGCAACAGCUCAAAUUUGAAAUCUGGCUCUUUCAGAGUCCGAGUUGUAAUUUGCAGAGGGCGCUUUGGCUUUGGCAGCGGUCCAAGUUCCUUGGAACAGGACGUCACAGAGGGUGAGAAUCCCGUACGUGGUCGCUAGCUAUUGCCGUGUAAAGCCCCUUCGACGAGUCGAGUUGUUUGGGAAUGCAGCUCUAAAUGGGAGGUAAAUUUCUUCUAAAGCUAAAUAUUGGCCAGAGACCGAUAGCGCACAAGUAGAGUGAUCGAAAGAUGAAAAGCACUUUGGAAAGAGAGUCAAACAGCACGUGAAAUUGUUGAAAGGGAAGCGCUUGCAGCCAGACUUGCUUGCAGUUGCUCAUCCGGGCUUUUGCCCGGUGCACUCUUCUGCAGGCAGGCCAGCAUCAGUUUGGGCGGUGGGAUAAAGGUCUCUGACACGUUCCUUCCUUCGGGUUGGCCAUAUAGGGGAGACGUCAUACCACCAGCCUGGACUGAGGUCCGCGCAUCUGCUAGGAUGCUGGCGUAAUGGCUGUAAGCGGCCCGUCUUGAAACCACGGAC
This 615-nucleotide ribosomal RNA is filed under the name Curvularia lunata. RNAcentral describes it as "partial 26S ribosomal RNA". It matches the Rfam family "Eukaryotic large subunit ribosomal RNA", at positions 33 to 666 of the family's 3401-position model. The record is from RNAcentral. Lineage: Eukaryota; Fungi; Ascomycota; Dothideomycetes; Pleosporales; Pleosporaceae.